Mesocricetus auratus (golden hamster) is the source of this 768-nucleotide long non-coding RNA. RefSeq lists it as uncharacterized. The transcript has 6 exons. The record is from RefSeq and is a predicted model, not a curated record. Lineage: Eukaryota; Metazoa; Chordata; Mammalia; Rodentia; Cricetidae.
GAGAAAGCAGAGGAACAAACAUCGCUCAAUAGCUGCCACUAAUAUAUCCCUGCCCUGGAUUCCAUCCCUCCUCCUGUUCCUGCUUCUCUUCCCCCAUUUCUCUUCUCCCCAACCUCUGUUCUCCUCCUCCUCUUUCUCCAUUAAUCUAGUACCCUUCCACUUUGAACAAAGUAUUUUCUGACUUUCUUAUUUUCUUGUUCUCUCUCUCUCUCUGUCUCUGAGUUAUGCACGCAUGCUCAUGUAUAUGCAGCACUGGACAGCCUAGACCAUCAUCAGCAUGUGCCUGGACACAGGAAUGACACACCAAUACCUCCGUGUGAGAAAGCGUGGCAGGGGUCUUCUUUGAGGCCCAGGCUAGCCUGGUCUUCACCUCCCUGCUUUCACCUCUGGGUCCCAGGAUUACAGGAGCAUGCCACCAUGCCAGUCUUCUGAGUCAGCAACGUGGAGCUCUGAGCCCAUGAAGCUGGAGAAAGAGCAGAAUCCUAGAAGAAGGACUGAAAUGAAGGAUGCAAUCAGCUCUUAGACCUGAAUUUCAGACACUGCCCUCUCCUACCACUGAAGCCCCACCAAAGGAGACACCCUACUCUGCCAGAGACUCUACUGGGAAUUCCAGCUGGUUGCCUUCACAGGGUUUCUGCACAGCUCAUGGUCAUGAUGCCUGUUUGCUUUCUAACAAGAGACAAAUGGAUGAGGAGAUGUGUGGAGGAUCUCAGAAGAGUUGGGGGAAGGGAAAUCAUAAUAAGAAUAUUUGCAUAAAAUAUAUUUUCA